GCAUUGGUGGUUCAGUGGUAGAACACUCAUCUUCCGUACCGGAGACCUUGGUUCUAUUCCCAGCCGGGGCA
Molecule: transfer RNA, 71 nt
Filed under: Loxodonta africana (African savanna elephant)
Lineage: Eukaryota; Metazoa; Chordata; Mammalia; Proboscidea; Elephantidae
Rfam family: tRNA
About the family: Transfer RNA (tRNA) molecules are approximately 80 nucleotides in length. Their secondary structure includes four short double-helical elements and three loops (D, anti-codon, and T loops).
Source: Rfam by way of RNAcentral